GGGGACGUGGUGUAGGGGUUAUCACGCUUCAUUUGCAUUGAAGAGGUCACGAGUUCAAUUCUCGUCGUCUCCA
RNAcentral lists this transfer RNA (73 nucleotides) under Sphaerobolus stellatus SS14. Its description in RNAcentral is "tRNA-Ala (TGC) (tRNA-Ala-TGC-1 1 to 5)". It matches the Rfam family "tRNA". Rfam says of the family: Transfer RNA (tRNA) molecules are approximately 80 nucleotides in length. Their secondary structure includes four short double-helical elements and three loops (D, anti-codon, and T loops). The record is from RNAcentral. Lineage: Eukaryota; Fungi; Basidiomycota; Agaricomycetes; Geastrales; Sphaerobolaceae.